UACGUAGGGGGCGAGCGUUGUCCGGAUUUAUUGGGCGUAAAGAGCUCGUAGGCGGUUUGGCAAGUCGGGUGUGAAAACUCCGGGCUCAACUCGGAGACGCCACUCGAUACUGCCAUGACUCGAGUCCGGUAGGGGAGUGCGGAAUUCCUGGUGUAGCGGUGAAAUGCGCAGAUAUCAGGAGGAACACCGGUGGCGAAGGCGGCACUCUGGGCCGGUACUGACGCUGAGGAGCGAAAGCGUGGGGA
RNAcentral lists this ribosomal RNA (245 nucleotides) under uncultured Aciditerrimonas sp. Its description in RNAcentral is "partial 16S ribosomal RNA". It matches the Rfam family "Bacterial small subunit ribosomal RNA", at positions 524 to 767 of the family's 1533-position model. Lineage: Bacteria; Bacillati; Actinomycetota; Acidimicrobiia; Acidimicrobiales; Acidimicrobiaceae. The record is from RNAcentral.